Molecule: long non-coding RNA, 1376 nt
Filed under: Medicago truncatula (barrel medic)
Lineage: Eukaryota; Viridiplantae; Streptophyta; Magnoliopsida; Fabales; Fabaceae
Description: long non-coding RNA (MTRU_LNC005370)
Source: RNAcentral
GGUAUGUAUGUUUACCCAUUAUAUAUUUCAAUUUCAAUAUUGUUUUGUUUUUAUUGUGAUGUUGCUCAUUAAUUAAUUCGGUCAUGUGCAAAUAUAUAUAAGUUAGGAUCCAUUGAUACCAAGUGUAAGUAAAAAAACUUACAUCAAAUCUCAACUGUUUAAUUUAUUUGAUCGUAUGGUUUAAAUAAUAUCAACAUAAGAAACAAAUAAAAUAUAAUACAGUUGAUCUCGUUUGAGAACUCCUUCUGUCAACAAGGAUUGCGCAGAGAUAACCAACACUGAUCAUCAAGCAAUCCUCAAUUUUGAUUUUCUAUUGUAAUAUCAUGAGUGUCCAAUUCAUUAUUCUUUGAGAUUUAGACCAACACCCAUUUAUAUAUAUGAGUUAGGAUUCUGUUAAACUUUAACAAGCUAAUCAUUUUUGUAGAUAAUUACGACUUUCACAAUGUGCAUGUUUUAAAAUGAUGUUAGAAUUGCUGGUUGAAGCCAUUCUUCUAUGAAUAAGAUUAACAUAACACAUUAAGAAUCAACUUUGGUUGGUACGAUGAUUUUGGGCCUCAGAGUGUGCUCCUUCUCAUGGUCUAUGCUUCGAUUCUCCCUGAUGCAAUUUGAAUGAGUUAAUUUCGUUUCUUAAAAACAAAAACAUAACACAUUAAGCUUCACAAUUUAGUGCUUAAACAUUUAAUUGUUGUCGAAUUUUGUAGAUUUAAAGUCGAACAAAAAAUUAACACAAACUUGUAGAUUUAGGCUAUGUUUGGUUUCAGAGAAACUAUAAGGAAAGAAAGAGGAAGGAGAGAAAGGUUGAAGAAUAUUCUCUUUUCCAUGGUUUGGUUUGCCAACAAUAAAGUAAGGAAAGAAAGUUUUAUGCUGGGACCCACUCAAAAUGCAAUAACCCCUAAACUGGACCGAAGAAUGGAGGAAGGUUUGCUUUUUGGAUGAAAUGACAUAAAUGCCCAACCAAUUUCAGAAAAUAACAACAACUUGACGGUUUUUUUUCAAUUUAAAUCGGGACACUAAACUCUUAUUUAAACCUAUGAUACUCUUUUUUAAACAAAAAUAAAAUGUGAUACUCUUUUAUGCUUAACUUACAUUAUAAUUGAAUGUGUAUUUUAAUAUUAAUCAAAUUAUUAUUUUAAUAUUUUUCUCUAAUCGCAUUUUAUUUUUGUUUGAGGUAGCUUUGUCAUUUUCUUGUUACAUAACUUUCUUUCCUCUCACUUUCUCACCACUUUCGCUCCUAACAAACAACUAAAAAAAUCAUCUCACUCUCCAUUCACUUUCUCUUCACUUUCAUUCCUUUAGGGUGUGUUUGGAUGGAGGUUUAGGAGGGGAAGGGAGGAGAGGGUCACUUUUAAUUUUAAAUAACGGACAUUAUGAAAUGU